RNAcentral lists this ribosomal RNA (253 nucleotides) under uncultured bacterium. RNAcentral's name for it is "partial 16S ribosomal RNA". It matches the Rfam family "Bacterial small subunit ribosomal RNA", at positions 524 to 776 of the family's 1533-position model. The record is from RNAcentral.
UACGAGAGGUCCAAACGUUAUUCGGAAUCACUGGGCUUACAGAGUUCGUAGGCGGUCUGGAAAGUCGGGUGUGAAAGCCCCCGGCUCAACCGGGGAAUGGCUCCCGAUACUGGUUGGCUCGAGGACGGUAGGGGUGAGUGGAACUCCAGGUGGAGCGGUGAAAUGCGUAGAUAUCUGGAGGAACACCGGUGGCGAAAGCGGCUCACUGGACCGUCUCUGACGCUGAGGUGCGAAAGCCAGGGUAGCGAACGGG